GUGAGGAAUAUUGGGCAAUGGGCGAAAGCCUGACCCAGCCACGCCGCGUGAGUGAUGAAGGCCUUCGGGUUGUAAAGCUCUGUGGGGAGGGAAGAAAAAGCGCAGGAGUAACUGUCUGUGUGUUGACGGUACCUCCUUAGCAAGCACCGGCUAACUCUGUGCCAGCAGCCGCGGUAAUACAGAGGGUGCAAACGUUGCUCGGAAUUACUGGGCGUAAAGCGCGUGUAGGCUGACAUGCAAGUCGGGUGUGAAAUCCCAGGGCUCAACCUUGGAACUGCACUCGAAACUGCACGUCUUGAGUACUGGAGAGGGAAGCGGAAUUCCGGGUGUAGAGGUGAAAUUCGUAGAUAUCCGGAGGAACACCAGUGGCGAAGGCGGCUUCCUGGACAGUAACUGACGCUGAGACGCGAAAGCGUGGGGAGCAAACAGGAUUAGAUACCCGGGUAGUCC
This 450-nucleotide ribosomal RNA is filed under the name uncultured bacterium. RNAcentral's name for it is "partial 16S ribosomal RNA". It matches the Rfam family "Bacterial small subunit ribosomal RNA", at positions 354 to 796 of the family's 1533-position model. The record is from RNAcentral.